RNAcentral lists this ribosomal RNA (423 nucleotides) under Capnocytophaga granulosa. Its description in RNAcentral is "bacterial SSU rRNA". It matches the Rfam family "Bacterial small subunit ribosomal RNA", at positions 28 to 455 of the family's 1533-position model. The record is from RNAcentral. Lineage: Bacteria; Pseudomonadati; Bacteroidota; Flavobacteriia; Flavobacteriales; Flavobacteriaceae.
GAUGAACGCUAGCGGCAGGCCUAACACAUGCAAGUCGAGGGAGAAGCCCUUCGGGGCAGAAACCGGCGCACGGGUGCGUAACGCGUAUGCAACCUACCUUUCACAGGGGGAUAGCCCGAAGAAAUUUGGAUUAAUACCCCAUAAUAUUAUUGGAUGGCAUCAUUUGAUAAUUAAAAUUACGAUGGUGAAAGAUGGGCAUGCGUCCUAUUAGCUAGUUGGAGUGGUAACGGCACCCCAAGGCUACGAUAGGUAGGGGUCCUGAGAGAGAGAUCCCCCACACUGGUACUGAGACAGGGACCAGACUCCUACGGGAGGCAGCAGUGAGGAAUAUUGGUCAAUGGUCGGAAGACUGAACCAGCCAUGCCGCGUGCAGGAAGAAUGCCUUAUGGGUUGUAAACUGCUUUUAUAUGGGAAGAAUAAGGA